AAGGAGAAACUGAUUUGCUACCACAAUUAGUUAGAUGGUCCUUCAGUAUUGCUCAUCAGACAACAUUGGACAUUACACAGACAGAGGAAAGGAAUUUAAGGACCAAAGCCAUCUUAGAGUCUUGGGCAUCCCUCGUGAAUAUGAUCGUUAUUAAAGUGUUGAUACCUUUCUGUCAAAA
Non-coding RNA from Drosophila bipectinata, 178 nucleotides. Lineage: Eukaryota; Metazoa; Arthropoda; Insecta; Diptera; Drosophilidae. The record is from RefSeq and is a predicted model, not a curated record.